GAUGAACGCUAGCUACAGGCUUAACACAUGCAAGUCGAGGGGAAACGGCAUCGAAAGCUUGCUUUUGAUGGGCGUCGACCGGCGCACGGGUGAGUAACGCGUAUCCAACCUGCCCAUCACUUGGGAAUAACCUUGCGAAAGUAAGACUAAUGCCCAAUGACAUCCCACGAAGGCAUCCGAAUGGGAUUAAAGAUUUAUCGGUGAUGGAUGGGGAUGCGUCUGAUUAGCUUGUUGGCGGGGUGACGGCCCACCAAGGCAACGAUCAGUAGGGGUUCUGAGAGGAAGGUCCCCCACAUUGGAACUGAGACACGGUCCAAACUCCUACGGGAGGCAGCAGUGAGGAAUAUUGGUCAAUGGGCGAGAGCCUGAACCAGCCAAGUAGCGUGCAGGAUGACGGCCCUAUGGGUUGUAAACUGCUUUUAUAAGGGAAUAAAGUGGGUCACGUGUGACUUUUUGCAUGUACCUUAUGAAUAAGGACCGGCUAAGUCCGUG
This 492-nucleotide ribosomal RNA is filed under the name uncultured bacterium. RNAcentral describes it as "partial 16S ribosomal RNA". It matches the Rfam family "Bacterial small subunit ribosomal RNA", at positions 28 to 507 of the family's 1533-position model. The record is from RNAcentral.